Molecule: long non-coding RNA, 2275 nt
Organism: Lolium perenne
Lineage: Eukaryota; Viridiplantae; Streptophyta; Magnoliopsida; Poales; Poaceae
Source: RefSeq, a predicted model, not a curated record
GGUAGUAGUUCGUUUGAUUUGAUUGCCGUGAUGCACUAUCAAUUGACUAGAUAGACUGUUUCCUCAGUGUUGGAGGGUGUUGGAGGGCAACUGGGCAAGACCGGUCUCACGGCUAAAGCUCAAAUCAACAAUACAGUAGCACGCUAUCUCCUGUUUUGACGAGAAGCAGAGCUGCGCCCCCUCAAGGGUAUGGCCGUACGAGUGGAGGGGAUUUUUUCUGUUGUUUCUCAGUUUGAAAAAAAAACAGGUCGGACCUUUUUUUCAAAUACAGAGAAAAUACUGCAGUUUUGGCCAUACUGAAGUAUUAAAACUACAGUUUUUUUUUGUUUUAACCGAACACAUCAAAAUAUUUAAAACCAAAGUAUUUUUAGAAACUGUGGUAUUUUUAGAAUACUUUGAAAAUGCCUUGCUACCAAACACAAUGCAGAAUAUACUUAUCUUGGCACGAUCUGAAGCUGAUUAUACUGCAAACAUGUGUACAAUUAAAAGGAUUGCUAGAUGUAAAGAAACUAAAUGGGAUUACCAAAUUCCAUACAUACAACUUGGGUUGAUCUGAAGCCAGUCCAUAGAACCAUGUCCCAUAUAGGACAGAGUACUAUAUGGUUUGCUACUGUAGCAGAGGUAAAAGAGGUGAGGAUGUUUGGUGGACCUUAGGCUGCAACGCACGAGCAGAAUGGGAGGAGGUUCAGGGAAUACAUAGGGUUGAGUUACCGAAGGGCUGCAGGAUGUUUAUGGUAAUGCCAUGGAGGCUGCACCAGCAGGCGUCAAGGGCGGGCUUUCAAUCCACCCCUUCCAGCAGGCAAAACAUAAUGAAUCUGGGACUAUCGAGAAUUCGAGAUAUAUAUUGGCGCAUACGCGUGUGUUGCAUAUACAGUUUUUUCUAUCUGCAAAAUCCAUGCAUAUACUCUCCAAGGGAUUAUUUCUUCCUCGCUUGAAUUUUCCUCACUGCCAGUAUGAUGACAACGGCCGGCACAACCUUCAGCUCCAGGCAUGACAGAACAAGACCGCCUCACAGCGUGUGUGGCAGCGAUGGCUGGUCCUCACAAGGGAUUUGGAGGCCACCAACUUGGUCGACCAUGUCUGCAGCCAUGGAACCUGCACAGCGGAUCCUACCUGUCAAGGAAUCCGGGUUGCAAUUUUAAUGACUUCCAUUAAGAAAAGGAAAUGAGGCAUGAGAUAGAUGUGUGGUUGCCUAUGGAUAGGAACCCUGGGAGUAUUAAGAUGGCAUCACCCACAUCUGUCGCCAUCACUGCUGAUUUCUUCACUACCUCUAGGCAGGGAAACCUGUGGCGGUAGCCUUUGGAUGGAAUUGGCGUGCCAAACCUCAAUCUAGAGGGGAUCAGCGGGCAAGCGCAUUAGAUGGAUGGAUUUGCCUUCCAACCAUUCAAGUCGACUUGCAUCUUCAGGGACAAGGAUAUCACAAUGUAUUUGUUAAAAAAUGGACUUCUAUCUAAAUUCCUUCUGAAUCGUGAUGUGUAUUAACUUUCUAAUUUUCUGUGGUAUCGUGGUGUGUAUGAAUAUGUGUUUAAGAAACUAUGCUUUUAUGGACUACAUAGUUUCUUUUAAGUUUUCUUACCUUUUUUCUCUUGCAGGUGAAACAUGCAUUUAGAAAUUUUAAUCACCAAGAGGAGAGAAGACAUGAAUGAGAUCAACUAGAUUGGUACUCUCCCCAACUCCGGUGAUGGUUUGCACUGCUGCCAACUUUCGUCUCGCAUGACAAGGGUGAUGAGCUUUACCACUGACUACCGUCUAAUGAUCUCAGCCAGUCGCGUCGGCUGGGGUGACUAGGCUAUCUGUCCCCAUCUUAUUAUUCUUCUUAUAAAGCGCAUCUUAAGUUGCAGACAUUCUUUGCAUAUCAAUAACUGACUAAUUUUUUUUUUUUGCUACUCUCUUCCAAUUGCAAGUAUUCGGAAGCAUGUGCACUUGAUCAAGUGUUGUUGGUUCAAAAGACAAAUUCUAAAGAAGACCAUGGUUCAGAUUUUUGUUUUUGUAUAGGAGACGAAUGCUAAAGAACUAUGGAAGGUUGGUCACAGGGACUUGUAGAGCAACGGAAGAAUGUCAAGAAAUAUUAGAGAGUUAGGCUGAGUUGAACCUCAAUUCUGAAAAUAAUGUUUGCUUAGUUGCAUAUCAAUGGCACCUCCAUAACUAAACUUUUAAUUUCCCUUUUGUCUCGAGAAGCUGAACCUUUUCUGUGUUAUCAAAAGCUGUGUCUAACACACUACCUUCUUCAGAUGGUUAGUAGUUUUAUUUUUAGUAAUUGAAGUCAUUACAAUAA